RNAcentral lists this ribosomal RNA (497 nucleotides) under uncultured bacterium. Its description in RNAcentral is "partial 16S ribosomal RNA". It matches the Rfam family "Bacterial small subunit ribosomal RNA", at positions 28 to 507 of the family's 1533-position model. The record is from RNAcentral.
GAUGAACGCUGGCGGCGUGCCUAAUACAUGCAAGUCGAGCGAACGGACGAGAAGCUUGCUUCUCUGAUGUUAGCGGCGGACGGGUGAGUAACACGUGGAUAACCUACCUAUAAGACUGGGAUAACUUCGGGAAACCGGAACUAAUACCGGGUAAUAUUUUGAACCGCAUUGUUCAAAAGUGAAAAACGGUCUUGCUGUCACUUAUAGAUGGAUCCGCGCUGCAUUAGCUAGUUGGUAAGGUAACGGCUUACCAAGGCAACGAUGCAUAGCCGACCUGAGAGGGUGAUCGGCCACACUGGAACUGAGACACGGUCCAGACUCCUACGGGAGGCAGCAGUAGGGAAUCUUCCGCAAUGGGCGAAAGCCUGACGGAGCAACGCCGCGUGAGUGAUGAAGGUCUUCGGAUCGUAAAACUCUGUUAUUAGGGAAGAACAUAUGUGUAAGUAACUGUGCACAUCUUGACGGUACCUAAUCAGAAAGCCACGGCUAACUACGUG